This 1038-nucleotide long non-coding RNA is filed under the name Anas platyrhynchos platyrhynchos (common mallard). Its description in RNAcentral is "lncRNA (ENSAPLG00000016612.1)". The record is from RNAcentral. Lineage: Eukaryota; Metazoa; Chordata; Aves; Anseriformes; Anatidae.
GGCACCACAAACAAGAGAAAGGAAAGGAAGUGCUGCCAGGAUGUUUCCCACUGCUAAACUGAAGAAAGUAGAAGCUGCCUUCUGAGAGAUCUAAGGGACAUUUGGGUCAAGGACAUAGGGGAGGAAACCAGCAGUCACACUUUUAUCCACACUGAGGAUGAAAGCUCCAUAUUCUCUAUAUGUGAUAUUUUUUCAUGCCUAAAGGAAGCUUGUUUGCAACAUUGCAUUUAUAGAAUAAGCAGAAAGUCAUCAAACACAAAUGCAAUGGCACAAACAAUCAAGCGAUGGGAACAAGUAUCCUACCAUGCUAUGUGCAGCUUUUAGGUAGAGUCCACUGAUGCUGAGUGAGGAUAAAAAAUAUUGUGCUCUGUGUGUGGAGUUAUGUCAGGCAAAAAGAGCAUCUGAGUAGUUAGAGGAAACGGAGGGAGUAUGGGUUUGACCUGGAUCCUGAAGUAUAAGUGCAAAUCAGUGUUAGCAAAGUUGAUUGCUGCCAUAGACUAUUUAUCUCAUGUGCCUGAUUCUCCACUCUUUCAUCACAGCAGUCCUUAGAGCCAUUGCUGGGAAAGGAAAUGUUUGAGAUCAAGGAGCACAAUAUUUUGGCAAAUAUAUUCAUGAACCCUAAUUUAAUCCUUUGCUGAGAAAUGUAUGAUUCUGCACUGUGAACACAGACUUUUUUUUUUUUUAAGAGAAAGCUUUAACUGGCAUUCUAUUGCAUCCAUUAUGUAGUGGCCCACAUCUUUAUUUGAUGAUCAGACAAUACAUACUGAGGUUGCAGCUAGUGCCUCUUACUAGGCCUUUGUAAUAGCUUUGGUAUGUUGCCUAUAAAGACAUAAAGCAUGCCAUCUCUGUAUCUCUUCCACUAAAUUUGUGUUGCUCCAUUGGUUGUGCUUUUUUUUUUUUUUUUGAAAUCUUUCGAGUAGCUGAGUAUUUCCCACUUAUAUUUUUUCCUAUUUCCACAGCUUUUAUGUGUUUUUAUGAAAGAAAUAGGAGCUCUUGGUGAGGAGAAAAAAAUAAAAAUAAAAAAUGCCAUAAUUCCCA